GGCUCCGUAGCUCACUUGGUAGAGCGCUCCUCUCGUUCAGGCAUGGUGUUCCUGUCGCUGGUUCGAAUCCAGUCAAAGCCU
Non-coding RNA from Paragonimus heterotremus, 81 nucleotides. The record is from the annotation of a GenBank genome assembly. NCBI's taxonomy places the organism in Eukaryota, Metazoa, Platyhelminthes, Trematoda, Plagiorchiida, Troglotrematidae.